This is a non-coding RNA of Populus trichocarpa (black cottonwood), 107 nucleotides long. NCBI's taxonomy places the organism in Eukaryota, Viridiplantae, Streptophyta, Magnoliopsida, Malpighiales, Salicaceae. The record is from Rfam.
GAUCGCGGUGAUGACUCACGAAAUUCAAGCUCAACAGACCGGAAUGCAGGGUUUUUCUUUAUAGAGAAAGACUUUGCGUGUCGAUAUUCCCGCUGAACUGAGUGAUC